RNAcentral lists this ribosomal RNA (253 nucleotides) under uncultured bacterium. RNAcentral's name for it is "partial 16S ribosomal RNA". It matches the Rfam family "Bacterial small subunit ribosomal RNA", at positions 524 to 776 of the family's 1533-position model. The record is from RNAcentral.
UACGUAGGGUGCAAGCGUUGUCCGGAAUUAUUGGGCGUAAAGAGCUCGUAGGUGGCCUGUCGCGUCGGCUGUGAAAACUCGGGGCUCAACUCCGAGCUUGCAGUCGAUACGGGCAGGCUAGAGUUCGGCAGGGGAGACUGGAAUUCCUGGUGUAGCGGUGAAAUGCGCAGAUAUCAGGAGGAACACCGGUGGCGAAGGCGGCGCUCUGGACCAAUACUGACACUGAGGAGCGAAAGCCAGGGGAGCAAACGGG